This 1441-nucleotide ribosomal RNA is filed under the name uncultured organism. RNAcentral describes it as "SSU rRNA". It matches the Rfam family "Bacterial small subunit ribosomal RNA". The record is from RNAcentral.
UAGCUACAGGCUUAACACAUGCAAGUCGAGGGGCAGCAUGGUCUUAGCUUGCUAAGGCCGAUGGCGACCGGCGCACGGGUGAGUAACACGUAUCCAACCUGCCGUCUACUCUUGGACAGCCUUCUGAAAGGAAGAUUAAUACAAGAUGGCAUCAUGAGUCCGCAUGUUCACAUGAUUAAAGGUAUUCCGGUAGACGAUGGGGAUGCGUUCCAUUAGAUAGUAGGCGGGGUAACGGCCCACCUAGUCUUCGAUGGAUAGGGGUUCUGAGAGGAAGGUCCCCCACAUUGGAACUGAGACACGGUCCAAACUCCUACGGGAGGCAGCAGUGAGGAAUAUUGGUCAAUGGGCGAGAGCCUGAACCAGCCAAGUAGCGUGAAGGAUGACUGCCCUAUGGGUUGUAAACUUCUUUUAUAAAGGAAUAAAGUCGGGUAUGGAUACCCGUUUGCAUGUACUUUAUGAAUAGGGAUCGGCUAACUCCGUGCCAGCAGCCGCGGUAAUACGGAGGAUCCGAGCGUUAUCCGGAUUUAUUGGGUUUAAAGGGAGCGUAGAUGGAUGUUUAAGUCAGUUGUGAAAGUUUGCGGCUCAACCGUAAAAUUGCAGUUGAUACUGGACAUCUUGAGUGCAGUUGAGGCAGGCGGAAUUCGUGGUGUAGCGGUGAAAUGCUUAGAUAUCACGAAGAACUCCGAUUGCGAAGGCAGCCUGCUAAGCUGCAACUGACAUUGAGGCUCGAAAGUGUGGGUAUCAAACAGGAUUAGAUACCCUGGUAGUCCACACGGUAAACGAUGAAUACUCGCUGUUUGCGAUAUACGGCAAGCGGCCAAGCGAAAGCGUUAAGUAUUCCACCUGGGGAGUACGCCGGCAACGGUGAAACUCAAAGGAAUUGACGGGGGCCCGCACAAGCGGAGGAACAUGUGGUUUAAUUCGAUGAUACGCGAGGAACCUUACCCGGGCUUAAAUUGCAGAUGAAUUACGGUGAAAGCCGUAAGCCGCAAGGCAUCUGUGAAGGUGCUGCAUGGUUGUCGUCAGCUCGUGCCGUGAGGUGUCGGCUUAAGUGCCAUAACGAGCGCAACCCUUGUUGUCAGUUACUAACAGGUUCCGCUGAGGACUCUGACAAGACUGCCAUCGUAAGAUGUGAGGAAGGUGGGGAUGACGUCAAAUCAGCACGGCCCUUACGUCCGGGGCUACACACGUGUUACAAUGGGGGGUACAGAGGGCCGCUACCACGCGAGUGGAUGCCAAUCCCAAAAACCUCUCUCAGUUCGGACUGGAGUCUGCAACCCGACUCCACGAAGCUGGAUUCGCUAGUAAUCGCGCAUCAGCCACGGCGCGGUGAAUACGUUCCCGGGCCUUGUACACACCGCCCGUCAAGCCAUGGGAGCCGGGGGUACCUGAAGUGCGUAACCGCGAGGAGCGCCCUAGGGUAAAACUGGUGACUGGGGCU